UUCCAGACUCCUACGGGAGGCAGCAGUGGGGGAUAUUGCACAAUGGGGGGAACCCUGAUGCAGCGACGCCGCGUGGGUGAAGGAGUAUUUCGGUAUGUAAAGCCCUAUCGGCAGGGAAGAAGCAAGACGGUACCUGACUAAGAAGCCCCGGCUAACUACGUGCCAGCAGCCGCGGGAAUACGUAGGGGGCAAGCGUUAUCCGGAUUUACUGGGUGUAAAGGGGGCGCAGACGGCGAUGCAAGCCAGGAGUGAAAGCCCGGGGCCCAACCCCGGGACUGCUCUUGGAACUGCGUGGCUAGAGUGCAGGAGGGGCAGGCGGAAUUCCUGGUGUAGCGGUGAAAUGCGUAGAUAUCAGGAGGAACACCGGUGGCGAAGGCGGCCUGCUGGACUGCAACUGACGUUGAGGCCCGAAAGCGUGGGAAGCAAACAGGAUUAGAUACCCCCGUACC
RNAcentral lists this ribosomal RNA (449 nucleotides) under uncultured bacterium. RNAcentral describes it as "partial 16S ribosomal RNA". It matches the Rfam family "Bacterial small subunit ribosomal RNA", at positions 329 to 794 of the family's 1533-position model. The record is from RNAcentral.